CAGCAGGGAAGAAGCGUAAGUGACGGUACCUGCAGAAGAAGCGCCGGCUAACUACGUGCCAGCAGCCGCGGUAAUACGUAGGGCGCAAGCGUUGUCCGGAAUUAUUGGGCGUAAAGAGCUCGUAGGCGGUUUGUCGCGUCUGCUGUGAAAUCCUCAGGCUCAACCUGGGGCUUGCAGUGGGUACGGGCAGACUAGAGUGCGGUAGGGGUGACUGGAAUUCCUGGUGUAGCGGUGGAAUGCGCAGAUAUCAGGAGGAACACCGAUGGCGAAGGCAGGUCACUGGGCCGCAACUGACGCUGAGGAGCGAAAGCAUGGGGAGCGAACAGGAUUAGAUACCCUGGUAGUCCAUGCCGUAAACGUUGGGCACUAGGUGUGGGGCUCAUUCCACGAGUUCCGUGCCGCAGCAAACGCAUUAAGUGCCCCGCCUGGGGAGUACGGCCGCAAGGCUAAAACUCAAAGAAAUUGACGGGGGCCCGCACAAGCGGCGGAGCAUGCGGAUUAAUUCGAUGCAACGCGAAGAACCUUACCAAGGCUUGACAUACACCGGAAAAGUGCAGAGAUGUGCUCCCCGCAAGGUCGGUGUACAGGUGGUGCAUGGUUGUCGUCAGCUCGUGUCGUGA
This 620-nucleotide ribosomal RNA is filed under the name uncultured Cellulomonas sp. RNAcentral describes it as "bacterial SSU rRNA". It matches the Rfam family "Bacterial small subunit ribosomal RNA", at positions 437 to 1070 of the family's 1533-position model. Lineage: Bacteria; Bacillati; Actinomycetota; Actinomycetes; Micrococcales; Cellulomonadaceae. The record is from RNAcentral.